This 1379-nucleotide long non-coding RNA is filed under the name Coturnix japonica (Japanese quail). RNAcentral describes it as "lncRNA (ENSCJPG00005016402.1)". Lineage: Eukaryota; Metazoa; Chordata; Aves; Galliformes; Phasianidae. The record is from RNAcentral.
GGUUUGAUUUCAGGAGGAGCAUCUAAGUGUGCCUAUCAAAGCACCUCCAUUUGCAACUCAGCACUUCGUCCCACUUGGUUGCUUUAAACAGGUACCUGGUUUUACAUGGUGCCAUCCAGGAGUGCGAUGCUGUAGCUGGCAGAAAUGACAUUCGCAAUGGGAGAUAAGAGACCAGACUUCCUUAAAGCAGACUUCCCAGUGGCUUCCUUCCCCAGCUGGCUGUGCUGGCAAUGGCUCAGCAGGACACGAGGAGGAAUUUGGCCUUGUACCUACCCCUGUAAGUCUGUAAUUUUGUUGUUGUUGUUCUUUUGUACCUGAAGCAUUCUGGAAAAAUGCUGAUAUCUUGGCAAAUAUCUGGACAUCUUUGCUGUUAAGAGAGCAGUGAUUAAUGUGCUUUUUUGUUCUCUGAUUAAAUUAAAACAUGUAUUCUAACAUGUCUUGGAGACAUUUAUAAUUGUCCUUGUGUAGCCCAGCUUAUCAGGACACAGUAGCAGGUGUUGUCAGCUCCGCCAGCCAGGAUUUUCAAUCCUGCAUGCCAGCCUCUCUGCUGAAGGCCAAGGCCCAGAUGCCGCAGCCCUUUGCUCACACUAAGCAGCAUUUCCACCAGCAGCCCAAUUGCCCAGGAGGAUGUUCAAUGGUUCCUGGGGACCACAACACAGCUGGGGUGGGCUGAGCAGCAGUGCUGGACAUGCCAUCUCACAAAGGUCUCUUUGCAUUAACCUGCCUGGCUGCACUGCAGAUUGGGAAAGGUGGCUUUUCAGAUUUCUCCAGAUCUGACAGCACUUGAAACAAACUUUACCGACUUUAUCUUAAAUAGAGCUUUUUGCUGGUUUAUCUCAAAGUGUGUUGCAGAGCAGGGCAGUAGCAGUGAUGAUGUAAGAAGAGAGUGCUGUUUCUGUGAAGAGCCCAUUCUGUUGCCCUGUGAAGAGCCCACUCUCCUCUCAGUGUAACCCCAAGCAAAGUGUCCCCUCCAUUCACCUCUCUUCUCAGAGGGGUACUUGAAUGUAGGGGCUUGAGUAGGUUGUCAUCACCGAGGUCGCUGCCUCCACAGUGUGCCCUGACCCUUGCUGCCCUGCCUCCAAUUCAGGCAACUUAGUCCUCAGGGCUGAUCUGGUGGCCACUCUUUAUCCAGAGCUAAGAUUAGCUUUUUGCUAAGGAGUUGCUUUUGCUUCUUCUCUUUCUCUGGUGAAUCUUAAGCAAGUAGUGCACUGUCACUGUUGUCAGCCCCUUUCUUGCUAAUGUGACAGGAGAACCUUCCCCUCUGAAGAAACCCUUACAGACCUGGAGGUCAUCGUUUGACUAGAACAAAGUUGAAAUAGGUUUCCUUUGUACUUUUGCCACCUUUAUACGAAGAAUAAAGAAAAAGCUGAUCAAGAGCA